This 516-nucleotide long non-coding RNA is filed under the name Vitis vinifera (wine grape). RNAcentral describes it as "long non-coding RNA (VVIN_LNC004549)". Lineage: Eukaryota; Viridiplantae; Streptophyta; Magnoliopsida; Vitales; Vitaceae. The record is from RNAcentral.
GUAUUGUCAAAAUAACAUCGAUCUUAAUCUGGCGAUAAUAAAGAUUAAAAGCAUAUGAGGCAGACAUGCGCUAACAGAUGCAUGAAACUCAUGGGCUGCUAGGUAGAGGUGGUGGUGGUGGUGGUGGAGAUAGUGAAUGUGGUGAUGAUUGCAGUAGCCCAACAUGAGGUGGUGAGGGAGGAGGCACAUAAAAUUGAUGCGGCUUCCCAGGCUGAGGAGGAGGCUUCCACAUGGGACUCCCAACUCGAUCUGGGUAUACCUUCAUUUGCUUCAACAAUCGAUUUGAAGCAGCGGGCACAAAAUCCAUAUCAGAAGCAGCUUCUAAGGGUCGUGCCAUCGCCACGUAGCUCUUACCUGUGUGACUGAUCUGCAACACCACACUAUGAAUUAAUAUAACUAAAAGCAAGAAAAGAGCAUUCAUUGCAGUCACUUUGCUAUGGCAUUAUGCUUGAUCUUAUGUAUAUAUUAUAUAGAUGGAGAGGUCAAUUAGUUGACUCAUUGCUCGAGAAAUAUCAG